Molecule: long non-coding RNA, 736 nt
Organism: Ictalurus punctatus (channel catfish)
Lineage: Eukaryota; Metazoa; Chordata; Actinopteri; Siluriformes; Ictaluridae
Source: Ensembl
CGGAAGAUCAGCGCAGAAUUCACCAGACUUGUGUCGAUGGACCUGAGCAAGUCCUUUUAUGAGGGUCUUGACAAACACGCCUCAAAGCUGCUGUAUUUGUACCGCUCGAGGCGCCAUGCAGACAUCGCAGAAAGGAGUGCCAUACUGGAGAGCCUGGAUAAAAAUGCAUCAAAUCACAGGAAGAGGGUUGCAGUACUGCUGGGGCUGCCACUGUCCAUGCGGGAGAAUCCAUCUCAGUUCUUACAGAUCCGUGAGCACACAGAUUCUGAAGAAGAGUUAAUCAAGGGCGUGACUGUUGGAAUCAGUACAGUUGUGGAUGACGCGAUGGACCCUAUUCCGUGUGACUGCGGUGAUGUAGCCCUUGUAAUGGAAGAAGUUGUCGUUCUACGCAAUCUUGGUGAUGUACCAAAUGCAUUUGUCAACUUGAUGGGAUUGCUUUAUGCACGUAACAUAAUCUACCCCACAAACUUCAAAUACACCUUUGAGGUGAUUCAGAGGCUGUUCAUGAACAUCGGAGCUGAUGCCCUAUAUGUAUAUACGUUCAAAGACCUGCAUACUUAAACAAACUGCUUAAAAUCAAAGUGCGAGCAUAGUCACAAAUAUUAACACAAGACAGUUCGGAUCAUUUUACUGACUCGGAUCUUUGAAUCUCGUUCAGCAAAAUGAACGAAUCUUUUUUGCAUCAUUUCGUUCAUUUCAGCAGAAUAAAGUUAAAAUGUUACAUGUUAAACUCCCC